Molecule: ribosomal RNA, 253 nt
Filed under: uncultured bacterium
Lineage: Bacteria
Description: partial 16S ribosomal RNA
Rfam family: Bacterial small subunit ribosomal RNA
Source: RNAcentral
UACGUAGGGGGCUAGCGUUGUCCGGAAUCAUUGGGCGUAAAGAGCGUGUAGGCGGUCCGGUAAGUCCGCUGUGAAAGUCGGGGGCUCAACCCUCGAAUGCCGGUGGAUACUGUCGGGCUAGAGUGCGGAAGAGGCGAGUGGAAUUCCUGGUGUAGCGGUGAAAUGCGCAGAUAUCGGAAGGAACACCAGUGGCGAAAGCGGCUUCCUGGUCCAGCACCGACGUUCAGGCACGAAAGCGUGGGGAGCAAACAGG